RNAcentral lists this RNase P RNA (408 nucleotides) under Nitrospirota bacterium. Its description in RNAcentral is "Nitrospirae bacterium (sediment metagenome) RNase P RNA component class A". It matches the Rfam family "Bacterial RNase P class A". Rfam says of the family: Ribonuclease P (RNase P) is a ubiquitous endoribonuclease, found in archaea, bacteria and eukarya as well as chloroplasts and mitochondria. Lineage: Bacteria; Pseudomonadati; Nitrospirota. The record is from RNAcentral.
AGAGCAGACCAUGCGGCCGCUCCGAGGCAGCGUAGAAGCCGCCGUUCGGGGAGGAAAGUCCGAGCUCCGCAUGGGCAGGACGGCUGCUAACGGCAGCCGGGGGCAACCCCAGGGAAAGUGCAACAGAAAUUAUACCGCCGCGCCGUGAACAUAGAACUACAGAGAUGUGCAGGUGCGGUAAGGGUGAAAUGGUGAGGUAAGAGCUCACCGCCUCCUGCGGUAACGCGGAAGGCAGGUAAACCCCGUCCGGAGAAAGGUUGAAUAGGUCCCGCUUUUCGGGCUGCCCGCCCGAUACCUUAUUUACCAUAAGGAGGCGGGACGGGUACCAACCGCAGAAGGCAGCGAGCGAUCUCUGUCUCAGAUGAAUGGCCGCGCAACACAGAACUCGGCUUACGGUCUGCUCUUAUU